GCAGACAAUGUUUGAUGG
Molecule: non-coding RNA, 18 nt
Filed under: Arabidopsis thaliana (thale cress)
Lineage: Eukaryota; Viridiplantae; Streptophyta; Magnoliopsida; Brassicales; Brassicaceae
Source: RNAcentral